RNAcentral lists this non-coding RNA (186 nucleotides) under Candidatus Faeciplasma avium. RNAcentral describes it as "6S RNA". It matches the Rfam family "6S / SsrS RNA". Rfam says of the family: E. coli 6S RNA was the first non coding RNA to be sequenced, but its function was unknown until recently. Lineage: Bacteria; Bacillati; Bacillota; Clostridia; Eubacteriales; Oscillospiraceae. The record is from RNAcentral.
GCGUUUCUGCCCUGUUCGAUAAAGCAUGAUAAUUUAAUCCAACACUUUUUUAAAGGGGAUCGGACUCCGAGAGAGGAUUGCAGACCUCCCGCCUGCGGCGGACGAAGGGAGCGUGAGGCUCUCGGGAGAUUACCCACCUGCUUUGUGCGGGUUCUAUCUUUCAUGCGGCGGCAGGGCGGAUUUUUA